Non-coding RNA from Peromyscus maniculatus bairdii (prairie deer mouse), 1259 nucleotides. Lineage: Eukaryota; Metazoa; Chordata; Mammalia; Rodentia; Cricetidae. The record is from RefSeq and is a predicted model, not a curated record.
UCUGCUCUGCUAGAUCAGAUGCGCCCAGAGGCUACCUUCAGUUUUGGGGGCCACACAUGGAGAGAGUCGCAAGCAACCUUAACUGCUGAGUGGAGUCACAGAGCAUAAUGGCAAUGGGACUCUCCUUUCUGCUUUAUUUUUUUUCUUUCUUUCUUAUCUCUGGUACCCCACGUCUUCUGUCUCCAACUCCACACAGCUGUUACACCGUUGAGCUCUUGCCCUGUGCCUUGCGAGUUCUCUGCUGUGGUCUGUGGCUCAAUUUGGCCUCCGUUCACCCUGGCCAGGAGAAUCCACACGUUCAGCGAACUACAGCAUCAGAAAAGGAAAUGUCUUUCCAGAAACCUGGCUUCAUACCCACAGCGAGAGCUGCAUGAAGAGAGGCCCUCUCCAGAAAUGUGCCACGCAGCGGUUGAAAGAGGAAGGGGGGGGGGGGGGUGUUUUUAUGGAAACCUCAGUCGCCUUUCCUUCUCUUCGGUGAAUUGCUUCUGUGUUCAGGCAGCCGACUUAGACAGCUGUGAGGAGAGGCAUGUGGGCGUGAUGGGGGCCUCGGGAAGAAAAGGCCUCUUGUACCCUUGCCAGGAUCUGUAGGUGGUGUGACCUGGGAAGACUGAAGAGCCCAGAGCUUCUCAGCAGUGGUGAUGAAGCCCGGAUCCCAGUGGCAAUGUUCUUGUGAGCCACAGGGGGCGCCCGAGUACCGGGAGCCAGCAAGUGCCAGCCUAGUCCCGAGAGAACUGGGGCUGCUCUUCCAGGAGGUGAAUGGAGACCAGAAAAGAUGCGGAGGGAUUUAAAAGCUGAGAGACAUUUGUCCUCGUCCUCUGCUUGACAAACACAAAAACCCAUCCUUUGAAGCCAGCGCAAAAGCCUUCUCUUAAGGGAAGACUUCUCAAAGUCUAGGGAAAGCCAUUUAUCCCUUUCUUUUUAUUAUCCGCCCAAUUGCCGUCAUAACGCAGUAUCUACAGAUGGCUCCGAGUUCCUGCAGAGCAAGACAGGACCCGGCUCCUCCACGUGCCAGGUUGGAAUCUGGACUCUCCUUGGUGCAGGUUCUGUCUGGUAGUUGGACAAAGGCUGACAUAAUGGAAGUGAACAAAUAUUGGAUGAAUGAAUAAAUGCAUGACAGAGCAAACAAAUGAACAUGCAUAUUUCAACACCCGGAAAGCAGAGGGCUGCAUCAGAUAAUUUCAAAAUCUGAUUCCUCAAUUGUUUCUACUAUACCCUAGGACUCUGGUAAUCCACAAAUAAAGAGAUUCCUGUGGACAUGG